UGAGAACCCAAUGCAGCUGCUGGCCACUGCACAAGAUUAGAACAUGAGACUCUUGUGCGUGUGACAGCGGCUAUGGUGGGAUUAUCGCAUUCUUCA
Molecule: microRNA precursor, 96 nt
Filed under: Phlebotomus papatasi
Lineage: Eukaryota; Metazoa; Arthropoda; Insecta; Diptera; Psychodidae
Description: microRNA mir-210
Rfam family: mir-210 microRNA precursor family
Source: RNAcentral